UCCCUGAAGGGUCAUAGGGCUGUUCUCGUCUCCCUGAAGGGUCAUAGGACUGUUCUCGUCUCCCUGAAGGGUCAUAGGGCUGUUCUCGUCUCCCUGAAGGGUCAUAGGGCUGUUCUCGUCUCCCUGAAGGGUCAUAGGACUGUUCUCGUCUCCCUGAAGGGUCAUAGGACUGUUCUCGUCUCCCUGAAGGGUCAUAGGACUGUUCUCGUCUCCCUGAAGGGUCAUAGGGCUGUUCUCGUCUCCCUGAAGGGUCAUAGGGAGAAGACCAUGUGAUGAACUGCUGAGCCCUCCACUCCUCCCCAUCUCUCUCUCUUGGUCUCUCUCUCUGUCUCUCUCUCUCUACCUCUCUCUACCUCUCUCUACCUCUCUCUACCUCUCUCUACCUCUCUCUAGCUCUCUCUAUCUCUCUCUACCUCUGUGUCUCUCUCUCUCUGUGUCUCUCUGUGGUUGUGGUGUAAAUGCUGGGAUUCAUCACAAGCAGAAGGUCCUGUAUCUCCUACAUGCCUGAUUUGUUAGCGCAGAGAAGAAGUGGCAGGAAGUGCUCUUUCAUCAGCACACCAUCCUAGGUGACAUUAUCUGACUCCCAUUCCCCGAGAGCACUACCUGCCCUGAGGGGGAACGGUGGGAGGGAGGACAGUAGGAAGGAACGAGAGAGAGGGCUUCUUAUUUUUCUUCCUUCCCGAGGCGUUAAGGUGCCUGGUUGGAGCAGCACUGUGUCUGUUUCCAUGCAGAGUUUCAGCUGUCGCUAGGAUCCCAUUUAUCACCCUUCUGCAGAUCGCCCUCACAGGGGUGGCUAAUGACACACCGCUCUUCACUGCUGCUCAAUUUACGCUUUGUGUCUGUCUGCAUUUGUAUAGUGUUUUUCUGUGUGUGUGUGUGUGUGUGUGUGUGUCUGCAUUUGUAUAGUGUUUUUCUGUGUGUGUGUGUGUGUGCAUUUGUAUAGUGUUUUUCUGUGUGUGUCUGCAUUUGUAUAGUGUUUUUCUGUGUGUGUCUGCAUUUGUAUGGUGUUUUUCUGUGUGUGUGGAUAGUGGGAAAGUGGUGGAGUAACUAGCUAGGCCUCCAGGCAGUCACCACACAGUCCAGUACAUAGUUCUAAAGACCUGGAGGUCGGUCACCACACAGUCCAGUACAUAGUUCUAAAGACCUGGAGGUCGGUCACCACACAGUCCAGUACAUAGUUCUAAAGACCUGGAGGUCGGUCACCACACAGUCCAGUACAUAGUUCUAAAGACCUGGAGGUCGGUCACCACACAGUCCAGUACAUAGUUCUAAAGACCUGGAGGUCGGUCACCACACAGUCCAGUACAUGGUUCUAAAGACCUGGAGGUCGGUCACCACACAGUCCAGUACAUGGUUCUAAAGACCAGGAGGUCGGUCACCACACAGUCCAGUACAUGGUUCUAAAGACCAGGAGGUCGGUCACCACACAGUCCAGUACAUGGUUCUAAAGACCAGGAGGUCGGUCACCACACAGUCCAGUACAUGGUUCUAAAGACCAGGAGGUCGGUCACCACACAGUCCAGUACAUAGUUCUAAAGACCUGGAGGUCGGUCACCACACAGUCCAGUACAUGGUUCUAAAGACCAGGAGGUCGGUCACCACACAGUCCAGUACAUGGUUCUAGAGACCCGGAGGUCGGUCACCACACAGUCCAGUACAUGGUUCUAAAGACCCGGAGGUCGGUCACCACACAGUCCAGUACAUAGUUCUAGAGACCUGGAGGUCGGUCACCACACAGUCCAGUACAUGGUUCUAGAGACCUGGAGGUCGGUCACCACACAGUCCAGUACAUGGUUCUAGAGACCUGGAGGUCGGUCACCACACAGUCCAGUACAUGGUUCUAGAGACCUGGAGGUCGGUCACCACACAGUCCAGUACAUGGUUCUAAAGUUGAGGUAGCCGUUUGACAUGGCCUCCUGAAAUGGAACUCUAUUCUCGGUGUGAGAGGAGCGAUGGCGAGAAAAGCACAGCAGGGUUUUAAAACAGCCAGCACUGGAGCAUUCCGUGACCCCCGCUGAACUCCGGGCUCCAGCAAAGCAGGAGACAUUAAAGGGGCUGUCUGGACAAAACCAAAAGGAAAGGUCAGUGAAUGCCCUCUCAGCCCCUGUGCUCACUCACUGGCACCUAACUUCCCCUUUAAAAAGAACAUAGAGACUGAGGGAGAAAUAAAGAGAGGGAGGGGUGAAGAGAGAGGGAGAGAGAGAGAGAGAGCAGGUUCUCAUUUCCUUUUGUCUCUGUGCCCUGCAAAUUGAUCCUUUGGCUCAAAGUGAAAUAGCUUAACUGCAGUAUAAACAGACUGCCGCUGUUGCUCAUAAGGACUAGCAUUAGAGGAAAUUGGCUGGUAUUGGUAGCCCGACUGAGAAGGAGAGAAGGCAUGGGAAGGAGAGCAGUGUUUUAAAGCCCACGCACUCACUGCAGCCGGCGCGCUUGCAUGACCAAUACCAGAGGACAUCAGCUCCAGAGCCGACGGCCAUUUCUCACAGAGCAGUCGCUGAUUACUCUGGUGUGUGACUGUGUGUGUGUGUGUUUGAGCCUUCUGAGCAAGUUAUCCAGGAAGCGUCAGAGAAAUUGGGAUGAGAUGGCACCAGGGAAGCGUGCGACUUUGAAAGCCCGGCGUGCUGGGAACACGAGCCCCGACCGGAUUCAUUAAUCAAAACAGGACGUGGUGGGGGGGGGGGUUCAGGCUGUUGAACACUGAGCUUUUUAAGGUUCUUGGGUUACUCUGAGUACCACAAUGGAGGGGGCCCCAGUGUGUGCUUCUACGGUCAAUUUUAUGCAAGUUGACCCGGCCGAUCUUGUCACACCAUGUGAAGACUACUUCUGUCCUAAGGGUCUUGGUUGUUAUGGCGAUCAUAAAUGGUACGGAACAGCUUCCUCCAAUGCCAAAUAAACACGCAAAGGAUAUGGUCUGUGGUGCUUUAGAACACCACCUGGGUCCUCCACCUGGUCCACCACCUGGGUCCACCACCU
Long non-coding RNA from Oncorhynchus keta (chum salmon), 2970 nucleotides. RefSeq lists it as uncharacterized. Lineage: Eukaryota; Metazoa; Chordata; Actinopteri; Salmoniformes; Salmonidae. The record is from RefSeq and is a predicted model, not a curated record. The transcript has 3 exons.